UACGGAGGAUCCAAGCGUUGUCCGGAUUUAUUGGGUUUAAAGGGUGCGUAGGCGGACUAUUAAGUCAGAGGUGAAAGUUUGCAGCUUAACUGUAAAAUUGCCUUUGAAACUGGUAGUCUUGAGUAUAGUUGAGGUGGGCGGAAUGUGUCAUGUAGCGGUGAAAUGCUUAGAUAUGAUACAGAACACCGAUUGCGAAGGCAGCUCACUAAACUAUAACUGACGCUGAGGCACGAAAGCGUGGGGAGCGAACAGG
RNAcentral lists this ribosomal RNA (253 nucleotides) under uncultured bacterium. Its description in RNAcentral is "partial 16S ribosomal RNA". It matches the Rfam family "Bacterial small subunit ribosomal RNA", at positions 524 to 776 of the family's 1533-position model. The record is from RNAcentral.